UAGGGAAUCUUCGGCAAUGGACGAAAGUCUGACCGAGCAACGCCGCGUGAGUGAAGAAGGUUUUCGGAUCGUAAAACUCUGUUGUUAGAGAAGAACAAGGACGUUAGUAACUGAACGUCCCCUGACGGUAUCUAACCAGAAAGCCACGGCUAACUACGUUCCAGCAGCCGCGGUAAUACGUAGGUGGCAAGCGUUGUCCGGAUUUAUUGGGCGUAAAGCGAGCGCAGGCGGUUUCUUAAGUCUGAUGUGAAAGCCCCCGGCUCAACCGGGGAGGGUCAGUGGAAACUGGGAGACUUGAGUGCAGAAGAGGAGAGUGGAAUUCCAUGUGUAGCGGUGAAAUGCGUAGAUAUAUGGAGGAACACCAGUGGCGAAGGCGGCUCUCUGGUCUGUAACUGACGAUGAGGCUCGAAAGCGUGGGGAGCAAACAGG
RNAcentral lists this ribosomal RNA (429 nucleotides) under Gemmatimonadota bacterium. RNAcentral describes it as "Gemmatimonadetes bacterium partial 16S ribosomal RNA". It matches the Rfam family "Bacterial small subunit ribosomal RNA", at positions 355 to 776 of the family's 1533-position model. The record is from RNAcentral. Lineage: Bacteria; Pseudomonadati; Gemmatimonadota.